GAUAAACGCUGGCGGCGUGCCUAACACAUGCAAGUCGAACGAUCCCGCAAGGGAGAGUGGCGGAAGGGUGAGUAACACGUGGGAAUCUACCUCCUCGCAGGGAACAACCUCUCGAAAGAGAGGCUAAUACCCAAAAGGGUCAGAAAUGAUCAGAGUCGAAAGGCGUGAGGAGAGGAGCCCGCGGCCCAUCAGCUAGUUGGUGAGGUAAUGGCUUACCAAGGCUACGACGGGUAGGGGAUCUGAGAGGAUGUCCCCCACACUGGAACUGAAACACGGUCCAGACGCCUACGGGAGGCAGCAGUGAGGAAUAUUGGACAAUGGGCGAAAGCCCGAUCCAGCAACGCCGCGUGGAGGAUGAAGGCCUUCGGGUCGUAAACUUCGUUUAGAGGGAGACGAGAAGGACGGUAUCCCUAGAAUAAGCGACGGCAAACUACGUGCCAGCAGCCGCGGUAAU
This 454-nucleotide ribosomal RNA is filed under the name uncultured bacterium. RNAcentral describes it as "bacterial SSU rRNA". It matches the Rfam family "Bacterial small subunit ribosomal RNA", at positions 28 to 524 of the family's 1533-position model. The record is from RNAcentral.